AGAAACAUAUGCGAAUUGACCUUCCGAGUUGUGAAGAACUCUCUCGCCAGAUUUGCAAAUGGAAAAAAUCCAGUGCAGACUACAGAAAAGAGCAUGUCCCCAUGACCUCCGUGGCUUCGUCGCCGCCGCCAGCCGAUGCAUCAACAAGCGGCACAUACCUCCCCUUUGCGUAUACAUGCAGUCAUCGGUCGUCGUGAAAUUUCAUAUGUUCUGGAAACUAUCUAACAGAAAGGUACCAUCAGAUCAGAUGCAAAUUGACCUUCCAAUCUGUGAAGAACUCUCUGGCCAGAUUUGCCAAUGGAAAAAGUCCAGUGCAGACUACAGGAAACAACAUGUCUCCAUGGCCUCCGUGGCUUCACCGCUGCCGCCAACCGAUGCAUCAACAAGCGGCACGUACCUCCGCUUUGCCUAUACAUGCAGUCAUCGGUUGUUUUGAAAUUUCAUCUGUUCUGGAAAUUAUCUAACAGAAAGGUACCAUCAGAUCAAGUAUGGUCGACUCUCCUAAUCGUGCAUCUCUCCAACCUCUAAAUUUCACUUGCCAAGUUCAAUCUACUCAAGCAUGCAUGUCGGGCUCUCCCGAAGUCUUGAUCGAGUUCAUGUUCAACCUUUCAGUCUCAGUUUCCAUGUGCUAAUAUGUGAUAACACAUAUACUCCAUAAUGGUUGAUUUUGCAGAAAUGGGAAUAUGGCCCGUUCAAAGCACAGCGGGUGCUUAGAUCCAGUGGUCAUUGCGCCUGCAUGUCCACCUUCUCCUAGAAAGAUGACGCCAAGUAUCACCCAUCAGCCAGUCUUUUAAACCUGUGUAUGUAUAUGCAAACUUUUUUACAUCAGCCAGAUUUGUUCCCUCAAAUUAUCUGGCCGAUUAUUUACGUGAGGCCCUAGAAAACGAGCUGGUGAGAGCCAAGGGCUCCACAAGUUAGAAGUAGUGUUCUCAGUCACUUUCAUUGUUAGGUGAAAUAACCUGUGUACUUUGUUUAUUCAUUUUCAAAGAUUUAUCAACCUGGUGCAAAGUUUAGCUAGGCUAUGCAAAAUUGGGUUGCCAUAAAUAACUAAAGAGCAUGCAUAUUAUAUUAAGCACUAUAUCUUCUGUGUGGAAUAUUUAGAAUUUUAUUAUCCAAUAGGAUUAGAUAGGAAAACAGUGGAACUGGAGCCAUUCAAUCUAACAUGCAGGCAUGCAUAUAUAUAUCGAUAUGUCUCAAAGCAUGAAGGUCAGUUCACAUGUUGAGUCGUUCAUGAAGAUUUCAUUCCGAAUCUGGAGAACCUACGUCUAUACGCUGGACUAACUAAGUAGGCUGAAGAUUAUUAUUACGGCUCAAAGCAUCGAGGUCUUUUCACAGUUUGAGUCGUCCAUGAUAUAUUUUUUGGAAUAUGGAGAACCCGUUAGCAUAUAUACUACACUCUUAAAUAAGAACUGUCCAGUUCUCUUCAUAUGAAACGUGAGCCUCUACUUCUGAAUGUAUGGAUUUAAUUUAUUUCGCUAAUGUUGGCGUUGUACCUGUGAUUAUGGUGGCCUAUGGUUGCAAACUUGCUGAGAAAGCAUUGUCAACAAUAUAAUGAAGGUGUUUAAUUAUAGUCCCAUACAACCUCUAAUUCUUUCUUAAUACCAGCAAUGACAAAUUUAUCAAAAAACUACUAAUUAUUUCUCCAUGUAUAUCUCAUGAUUACAUCCACACGUUAUAUCUACAAAAUUUGCGUACGUGUGUUCCCUUCAUAAUGAUAUUUUUCUUCUUAUUAUUAGCAGGUGCAUGUUCCUUCAGCAGGUGAUUGUUUUAACGGGCAAAAAACUAACAGCGUCCAGAGACAUACUUAUAUGCACACAUCAGUUUUUGUAUGAUAAGUUGAUAACUUGAUGGAGACUUAUGUUUGUUGCACUUUUGUAUUAUUCAAAUGAAACAUAAAAAAUAUUAUGAUUAUAUGUUUAUGUAACCUCAAAUAGCUAGCCCGUGCAUGUGCACGGGUUGACGACUAGUAUAUAUAAUUUUUGGCCUCGUGAAGGAGAAAGUAUCGCUCAAUCUUGGGGGAGGCUUAAGUCAAUGUUAUAUUCAUGCCCCA
Triticum aestivum (bread wheat) is the source of this 2050-nucleotide long non-coding RNA. RefSeq lists it as uncharacterized. The transcript is spliced from 5 exons. The record is from RefSeq and is a predicted model, not a curated record. NCBI's taxonomy places the organism in Eukaryota, Viridiplantae, Streptophyta, Magnoliopsida, Poales, Poaceae.